Non-coding RNA from Providencia rettgeri DSM 1131, 417 nucleotides. Lineage: Bacteria; Pseudomonadati; Pseudomonadota; Gammaproteobacteria; Enterobacterales; Morganellaceae. The record is from Rfam.
UACUGAGUUAGUGUGUUCUAAAGAAGAAAGUUAUCACAGAUAGCCUUUGACCGUGACGCUUCAUCUUGGUGUUUCCCUGAUUAAAUAGUUGACUCUGGCCCGUAUAUGCCAAAAGGCAAGUUUUUUUGAUGUUAUAUAGGAAAAGUCAAAUGUCCGACAAAAUGAAAGGUCAAGUUAAGUGGUUCAACGAGUCUAAAGGCUUCGGUUUCAUCACUCCAGCUGAUGGUAGCAAAGACGUUUUCGUCCACUUCUCUGCCAUUCAGGGCAAUGGUUUCAAAACUCUGGCUGAAGGUCAGCAAGUUGAAUUCACCAUUGAAAACGGUGCAAAAGGCCCAGCAGCUGCUAACGUAACUGCUAUCUAAGCUAAUUGCUUAACUGAUUUUCUAAAGCCCGUCAUUUUUAAUGACGGGCUUUUUC